Molecule: long non-coding RNA, 207 nt
Filed under: Physcomitrium patens
Lineage: Eukaryota; Viridiplantae; Streptophyta; Bryopsida; Funariales; Funariaceae
Description: long non-coding RNA (PPAT_LNC001502)
Source: RNAcentral
GGCACCCUCUCAAGGAACUAAGUAGCCUUGACGUUGUGAAUGUCAGGGUUGUGUUUGGACUUUGGUUUUUGUUUUAGUGCAAACGAAGGAGAUUCGGUUGCGAGUGGGUUGGUGACGUGAUUAUUCAUUUCGUAUGCAGAUUGUUGGUGGCUCUGUGAUGGGUCUAGAUUCUUGUUGUGCUGAAAUUGGGAGCAUAGAUCAUCAAGG